UUUUUUUUUUUUUUUUUCUUAAAUGUACACAGGGAACAUGAUUCUUUUUAUGCAAACAAUAACUUAGGCCCUGUCGUGACUACAGUGAAGUGUAGCAUCACUGCCGGCUCCGCCACGGGAGGGCUGGAGGAGGCCAGCCCAGGCCAGCAGUGCCCGAGGUCACCGAUCGCCUCCUGCUCUGCCCCCCGCUCGCGUGCAUUGGCCACGCUGCACCGACCGCGCAGCGGCCGCCCCCCACCGGACCAGCGACAGAAACUGCCCGCUUCCUGGGCCACUCUCUGACCUGGACACAAGACCACGUGCUCCGAGGGAGGGAGCCCACUCCCGUUACACCUCAGAGCCACGGAGCCGGGGCCACUCCCUGCCGCAGCUUCCCUGGAUCCCUGCGCUGCCUUCGGGAAAUGAGCGCCUCAACAGGACCCAGGCCCCCGCGCGGCAGGGGCCCUCCUGGCCACCUCACCCUAAUUUUUCUAGCUGGCGCCCCCAAAGCAGUGGCUUCUCAUAGGAAAGGACGGGAGGGGAGCGCAGCUGAGGUGACUCUUGAUGACAAGACGCUGCAGCUGGCCUGCUGUGGAGUUGUGUGUGUGUAUGUCCAGAAUGCCUGGUGGCCUGCGGGGGUCUCAACCAAAGGGAUGCUGGCUUGACCCAGGCCUCCCUUCCCUAAGAGCAGCAGAAGCUGACUGAGGCACAGGGAUGCCCCAUCCCCUUCUGGCCAGCGAGCUGCUCCUAUGAUGUCACCCUCUGUCCACCGUGACAAAGACAGACAUAUCCUGCAGAAGAAUCUGGGUCGCAGCAGGUGCCGCGCCUCCAGCAGGAAGCAAAACCAAGGCGGUAGAGGCAGGAGAGCAAGGACACAGACACCCUGAAGCUCUCUCCCUCUUCCUCUCCAAAUGCUAGGCGACAGGAAAGACAGGGACAAUGCAGAGUAAAUGUGUGCCGUGACACCCAGUGUGCGACACAAGCCAAGAAUUCUAAGUGGAUUCACGAGCCACGCCACCCAGCCUCGGGUCCUCCCUCCUCAGCCGUCAGAGCCAGGAUCAGUCUCUGGCUUUGCACCAAGGGCUGCUGUUCCCUCACACGGUGUCUGCACUCUCGCUGGGUGGCAGUGGCUGCCCCACGUCCCCAUUCUGGACAAGCCAACGCCCACCCGCCCAGUGCUGAGAGCUGCAUGCAGGUCCCAUGAGCACCCUCUGUGCAAGCACCUUCCAGAACUUAGAGCCCCGAUGAAAGCAGGGGUGGGGACAGCACGGUUCCAACAAUCCCCAGGGAUGCUCCCACACAAGGGCCUAUUCAGUCUGCACGCUGCCCUGACCGGAUGCUGAAGCCUGGCCUGCCACGACUGGCCAUGCCGCUCAAACGACUGAGAUGUCCUCUAGUCCCUCAGCCCGAAGCAGCAGACGAGAGGCUGAAGAGUUAGUGGGGGAAACAAGAGGAACCCCGGGGCUUCCUGUGCAUGGAGGCUCCCUUCGGACAUGAGCUGCCACAGUCCCCGCCUGCCCACCUUGGCUGACAGGGCGCUGCGUUGGGGGUGCCCCAGGCCUAGUUUCAGGUACUUCUGUGAGGGGACGGGUAGAAAGCCCAGGUGCUCCUCCUCACCGCCCCCUCCACACUCCGGGGAAGUCACUGGCUGCACACACAUCUGUGGAAUCAGGGGCCAGGUGGCUUAGGCCGUAGCUUUCGUGCUCACAAAACAGGUGGCAGUGUUAGCUCAAGCAGUGAGGGGGACUGGGCUGCUUUUGCCUGCGUUCAUACAGGGAUGGCCCAGGCCACCACCAUGCUUUCCCUCCACUCCCAAUUCCGUGAGGUGCUGACCAGGUGAGCAAGACCUUGAAAAGGGGGCGGGGUGAGUCAAUGCGGCCGUUUCCUCAUCUGCUGGGGCCCAGGACUGGGGGAGUUUGGGAACCUAUCUGCCAACCUCAGCUACAACGAAACACAGAUGUCACCUUCCAGUCAACCCUGGGCCUACAGGGCCAGGCACAGCUCCGCCAGAAAAGACAAAAAUUCAUCACCCAACAUUCACAGAAAACACGCCUGGACCCUGGGUUUUUCUCCCAUUAAAACUUGCAAGGGUACGUGAGUGUUUCCAAGCACCUUCGUUGGCCAUUGUGAACUGGAGACAGUGAGCCAGCCGUCCCCAGAGGGAGCCUGGGAGACGAAGGGCCACUUCUGUCUCCAACCACUACAGGUGGGCAUGGGCGGGGCAGCUGCAGACGCCCAGGAGGUGUCCAUCAGGCCCCCUGGAAUAUACCACAGAUCCUAUUUCUUAAAGUGCAACGAGCCCCAAGGGCUGUCUGGUGUGGGGCCCUCUGCACCCCACUAGCUCUCGCCUGGGGGGUGCCCAGUCUUCCUGGCUGCAGAGGCCAUGGCCCAGCCAUGCAAGUUUGCAGUGCUAGAGGGCAGAGGUGGGCAGGAGAAGAGCUUUUCCUGGAGCAGUGGAAAGGCUGGGCUAGGGUGGUAGUGGGUGAUAGGCAGGCACGGUGCCUCUGGGCCGGCAAGGACCAGGAAGGAUGCCCCUUCGAGGGCACCAGCAGACCGCCAUUCCUUCAAAGUGCCCCACCCCGCCCACAUCUCCACGAACACUCCUGCCAGUGGCCUCCAUGGCUGGGAUGAAACGAUUCCACUUCAACACCCAACACACCAACCCCAACCCC
Molecule: long non-coding RNA, 2651 nt
Organism: Macaca fascicularis (crab-eating macaque)
Lineage: Eukaryota; Metazoa; Chordata; Mammalia; Primates; Cercopithecidae
Source: Ensembl